GUGCAAUGAGUGUACCUGCGGCUUAAUUUGACUCAACACGGGGAAACUCACCGGGUCCAGAUACAUGCAUGAAAGACAAGCUGACAGACUUUUCUCAAUUAUGUAAGUGGUGGUGCAUGGCCGUUCUUAGUUCGUGGAGUGGUUUGUCUGGUCUAUUCCGAUAACGAGCGAGACCCCAGCGGUCUAAAUAGGGGGGGCAGCCCGGCUCGCUCCGGCCCGCAAGGGCUGGGGCUUGCUAGCGGCCCCUUCGUAAAGCGUAGCUUCUUAGACGGAUCAGGGCCGAUAAGGUCCUUGAAAUGGGUUAAUAACAGGUCAGUCAUGCCCUUAGAUGUUCCGGGCCGCACGCGCGUUACAAUGGGAGGCAAAGCGAGUGUUCGUUCAGUCUGAGCUUCUCCAUACCCGACAGGGCUUGGUAAACCCUAGGUCCUCCCUUGACUGGGAUAGACUAUUGCAAUUAUUGGUCUUCAACGAGGAAUUUUUAGUAGUCGCGGGUCAUCAACCCGCGACGAAUGCGUCCCUGCCCUUUGUACACACCGCCCGUCGCUGCUACCGAUUA
RNAcentral lists this ribosomal RNA (556 nucleotides) under Stemonitis axifera. Its description in RNAcentral is "SSU rRNA". It matches the Rfam family "Eukaryotic small subunit ribosomal RNA", at positions 1167 to 1691 of the family's 1831-position model. Lineage: Eukaryota; Evosea; Eumycetozoa; Stemonitida; Stemonitidae. The record is from RNAcentral.